CCUUGCAAUAAUGCCCUAUUCUUAUAUAACCUUAGGGAAAUUUUUAUUAAAAUAAUUUUAUUGGCAUCCCUAAAUGUAUAGUUGUUGCUUGGAGAUCUUCAUCAAACCAUACUGUAAAAAUUCCUCUGAUUCUUGGAAAAGAUGACUGUUUCUACAGAGGAAAUUGGUGGUUACCAGGAUCAUUACAGCUGGUAUUCUAUAAACCACAAGGCUGAUCCUCCAUGCUAGGGACCUGGAUCAAGUGCCACUUUUGCGGUUAACCUACAAGGUCAUUAUCUCUCUGAACAGCUUCAUUUUUCAUCUAUAAAAUGGGAGGAAAUAAACUUACACCUUAAGGUGGAGUAAAACACCAGGUAGAACAUAUACAUAUUGCAGGGCUCUGCUGCUCACCAGAUGGAGCCCUGAGGAAGAGAAUGAGAAUGAACUUGAUUCUCUUAUUCUUCCGAAAGAUGGGAUGAAGUUUCAUGAAGGGGAUUGUGGUGGGGAAAUAUGAACCUCCAAAGGAGAGAGUGGAGUCAAGCACCUCUUCAGCUCAUGGCACCCAAUCAUCAUUCCAGAUAUGCUCGCCUUCAACCGUAAAGCAAAUGUUGCGCUGCUCUGCAUCCAACCAAUGGUCUCCAAGAGUGAAAAGUAGCCUGAACCUAAGAACUUCUGGCCUGUUACCCUGCAAAGAAAUACCCAAACUCUGUGUGUGGGCACGUGUGUUGUGUGUGUGUGUGUGUGUGUGUGUGUAUGUGUCCACACAUGUACGCUCAUGCGCAUGUAUUGCAGGAUGAAUUAAAAAGUUCCUUCUUCUAA
Molecule: long non-coding RNA, 798 nt
Organism: Pteropus alecto (black flying fox)
Lineage: Eukaryota; Metazoa; Chordata; Mammalia; Chiroptera; Pteropodidae
Exons: 2
Source: RefSeq, a predicted model, not a curated record